GUACGGGAGGCAGCAGUGGGGAAUUUUGGACAAUGGGCGCAAGCCUGAUCCAGCAAUGCCGCGUGCAGGAUGAAGGCCUUCGGGUUGUAAACUGCUUUUGUACGGAACGAAACGGCUCUGGUUAAUACCCGGGGCUAAUGACGGUACCGUAAGGAUAAGCACCGGCUAACUACGUGCCAGCAGCCGCGGUAAUACGUAGGGUGCAAGCGUUAAUCGGAAUUACUGGGCGUAAAGCGUGCGCAGGCGGUUAUGUAAGACAGACGUGAAAUCCCCGGGCUCAACCUGGGAACUGCGUUUGUGACUGCAUAGCUAGAGUACGGUAGAGGGGGGUGGAAUUCCGCGUGUAGCAGUGAAAUGCGUAGAUAUGCGGAGGAACACCGAUGGCGAAGGCAGCCCCCUGGACCUGUACUGACGAUCAUGCACGAAAGCAUGGGGAGCAAACAGGAUUAGAUACCCUGGU
This 460-nucleotide ribosomal RNA is filed under the name uncultured bacterium. RNAcentral describes it as "bacterial SSU rRNA". It matches the Rfam family "Bacterial small subunit ribosomal RNA", at positions 339 to 791 of the family's 1533-position model. The record is from RNAcentral.